RNAcentral lists this long non-coding RNA (289 nucleotides) under Aotus nancymaae (Ma's night monkey). RNAcentral's name for it is "lncRNA (ENSANAG00000039357.1)". The record is from RNAcentral. Lineage: Eukaryota; Metazoa; Chordata; Mammalia; Primates; Aotidae.
UUUCAGUGUUAGUCAUCUCUUGCUUGCUGGCAAAUAAAGGACUCUUAAUUUGGAACUCAGAGAGUGGCGCUUUCUUUCUAACUCGCUCAGUUACAAGAAGUAAUCUGCUUCCUGGAGGUUUCAGAUUUGAAAAUAAUUUAAUAUUAUCUCAAUCUAUUGGGAAUAAUAUUGGGGUGUCUCUGCCUAGUCCCAUAUAGAUUUCAGUUUAUUCGUGAAGUUCAAUCAUCUUGGUUUUGAUUCCUCAUGCCUAACACCCGAGUCUUUUUCACAUUUUUCAACAAUCCCGGAA